GACGAACGCUGGCGGCGUGCUUAACACAUGCAAGUCGAACGGAAAGGCCCUGCUUUUGUGGGUUGCUCGAGUGGCGAACGGGUGAGUAACACGUGAGUAACCUGCCCUUGACUUUGGGAUAACUUCAGGAAACUGGGGCUAAUACCGGAUAGGAGCUCCUGCUGCAUGGUGGGGGUUGGAAAGUUUCGGCGGUUGGGGAUGGACUCGCGGCUUAUCAGCUUGUUGGUGGGGUAGUGGCUUACCAAGGCUUUGACGGGUAGCCGGCCUGAGAGGGUGAACGGCCACAUUGGGACUGAGAUACGGCCCAGACUCCUACGGGAGGCAGCAGGGGGGAAUAUUGCACAAUGGGCGGAAGCCUGAUGCAGCAACGCCGCGUGCGGGAUGACGGCCUUCGGGUUGUAAACCGCUUUCGCCUGUGACGAAGCGUGAGUGACGGUAAUGGGUAAAGAAGCACCGGCUAACUACGUG
This 468-nucleotide ribosomal RNA is filed under the name uncultured bacterium. RNAcentral's name for it is "partial 16S ribosomal RNA". It matches the Rfam family "Bacterial small subunit ribosomal RNA", at positions 28 to 507 of the family's 1533-position model. The record is from RNAcentral.